ACCUCUAGCCAGGGACGCGCGCUCGGUCCCCCGCCGUGCGCCCCCGGUCCCGCGCCCAGGCUCCCGCCCCUGGCCUCCUUACCAGCCACUUGUCGCCCAGCUGCGAACUGGAGCGGGAGGCGGCGGCCGGAGGGCCCAGGACAGCCCCGGGAGGGCGGCGAGGCGGAGCAGGAGCGCCCCGGCUCCGGCCACAUUCUCAGAGUCAGGAAAAGGGGCGAGAGGCCACAUGUCUCCCUCUCGCCCAACUGAAAACGAAACGGCGCUCCAGCAGAUUGGGUGGAAAGAGCUGGGUCUCUUUUCUCUGUUUUUCACGCUAGAAAGGGCUUGUAAACAUUGUUCCUUUUAAAAUGACCUACCCCAGGCAUUUGUUUGGGCACACUUCUGUCCUGGGGUCAUCGUUCCUAGGUGGCUUCGGACCUGGGACUUUUCCUGUAUCUGCACAUUGUCGUUUUAUACACAAUUGCCAAGGUGGGACUGCUUUCAACUUUACUGUGCUUGAAGCUGCAAAGGUUCUGCCCUGAUGUUUCCUGGAAUAAUGCUGAGGACUGCCUUUCGGGUAGCCGCCCUAUUCAGUUCACUUCAUCUCGGAAAUACCUGACCCCUGCCUUGGAUCCAGCGGCCCUCCUGAGAGCUGAGGAAGGAGGAAAUCCUAUGUGUCUGCUCCCGGAGCUGCCACAACCCAUCUUCCCACAACUCGGAACUUGGAAAAAGGAACCCAGGACACGACUUUGCUUUUCUUUUGGACCUAGUUGCAACUUUUAAAAGCCUUUCCACUGCACAGUGAAAGAAAACCACAAACUCCUUGUUUAAUAAGUGGGAUCACGUGCUUUUAACACGAGGAAAAGGUCAAUCUGAAGCAACUGAUAUGGAACUGCCAGAGUAGGAGUUGAAAAUCUUCCUAAACUGCUGGAGGAUACACCUCUGAUAGCUUGAGACAAAUAUCCUCUUGAUCAUUGUUUCACCAUAUUUGUCUUUGCUCAUGGAGAACCAUUUUGAUCCGUGGUUUAGCCUCCCAGGUGAUUGAACAAUACCGGUGAUCUGAGGCAGACCCUCUGUGACGGAUAACAGGAGUCCAUUCUCAAUUUUCUGUGCAAAUUGGGGAAGGCUGUUGAUAAUCGGUGGAUGCUAUAGUGCCCAUGGAAAGACUCUAGUCUGAAGAUACCAGUCUCUCCCUCCCAAGAUCACCUCCCCUGACCAACCUUCUGCACUCCUGACAGAUACAAGGGAGCAAGCAAGUUGCACCCAACCUAAUAGUAAAUUGCAGGGACAUUUCCAUUCUAAGGAAGGAAUUUUUGUGUGUGUUGCAACUCAGCUUCUGCUCUGGCAUUUUGCUGUGCAUUUAUAUUGCCAAUCAUGUUGGAGAGUCCAUGUGGUGAUUUCUGAAAACGAGAUGUGAGAAAGAAGAGGAUAAUUUAAGUCUAGACCUACAGAUUGUGCUGAUAAAGUGAUGAAGAACUACAAUCUUCUUAGUCAUUUCAUUGUAUAAGUGCAAUAAAGGAUUUUGUGUCUUUCCUGGCAAACAACUUGUGACCACAGUGAUGGCUCCAGCAGAAUGGAAAAGACCCUUUACCUCACAUCUCAGAAGUAAAGAUGCUGAUUAUUUGACAUCGCCAUUGGAAUCUCAAAACAGUGUAAAGCAUUUGCUAAAAAGAGUCACUUUCUGAGAAAUGACUCAGAAUUCGACUUACGUACUAGCAGAACUUAUUGCCCAUAAAAGGAAAGGCCACACUUUUUGUGAAAACUUAAUAAUCCCUAGGAUGUAAAAUUAUACUGAGUUAAAUCCUAGUCCCAUUUUUAGUACAAGAAACUGGAAAAAAAUAAUCCACUCUCAAAUGGUAAGACAAAUUGAGAUAUUGCUGAAAAGCCUCUUGACCCUGAAAAGUUCUGAAUAAUAAACUGAUAAAAGCAGCAGCAGCAUCUAACUUGACACCAGUCAUGUCAUUUG
Molecule: long non-coding RNA, 1945 nt
Filed under: Homo sapiens (human)
Lineage: Eukaryota; Metazoa; Chordata; Mammalia; Primates; Hominidae
Description: PREDICTED lncRNA (TCONS_00025411)
Source: RNAcentral